RNAcentral lists this ribosomal RNA (450 nucleotides) under uncultured bacterium. Its description in RNAcentral is "partial 16S ribosomal RNA". It matches the Rfam family "Bacterial small subunit ribosomal RNA", at positions 354 to 796 of the family's 1533-position model. The record is from RNAcentral.
GUGGGGAAUAUUCCGCAAUGGACGAAAGUCUGACGGAGCAACGCCGCGUGAGUGAUGAAGGUUUUCGGACUGUAAAGCUCUGUUGUUUAGGACGAAAGUGCCUGUUGCAAAUAGUUACAGGUAUUGACGGUACUGAACGAGGAAGCCACGGCUAACUACGUGCCAGCAGCCGCGGUAAUACGUAGGUGGCAAGCGUUGUCCGGAAUUAUUGGGCGUAAAGCGCAUGUAGGCGGGAAUCUAAGUCUGUUGUGAAAAUGCGGGGCUCAACCCCGUAUUGCGAUGGAAACUGGGUUUCUUGAGUGCAGGAGAGGAAAGGGGAAUUCCCAGUGUAGCGGUGAAAUGCGUAGAUAUUGGGAGGAACACCAGUGGCGAAGGCGCCUUUCUGGACUGUGUCUGACGCUGAGAUGCGAAAGCCAGGGUAGCGAACGGGAUUAGAUACCCGUGUAGUCC